AUGAUGGCAAUGAACUGUCCAUCUCGAGUCACCUCGCACUCAUCAGCUGUUCACCAUGACAUGGUGCUGUGCCACUCUGGCCUUGGCAGAUGGAAGAGACAUGCCCGCCCCGGAGUCAACCUGUGCAGUUUGGGUGAGGAGGCAGCAAAACUCAAACACUCCUCGGUUUUCUUCUCAAGAACUCAGCCGUCGGCACUCGCAGUAAAUGACAGGAGCCAGGUCCUUCUUUGGAGAUGGAGAGCUCCAUGCUGAGGAACCUACUGGGGAAGAGGGACUCCCUUGAGAAUAAAAUCCACUCUGCUAAUUAUCA
Molecule: long non-coding RNA, 310 nt
Filed under: Sus scrofa (pig)
Lineage: Eukaryota; Metazoa; Chordata; Mammalia; Artiodactyla; Suidae
Description: lncRNA (ENSSSCG00070004518.1)
Source: RNAcentral